RNAcentral lists this ribosomal RNA (504 nucleotides) under uncultured bacterium. Its description in RNAcentral is "partial 16S ribosomal RNA". It matches the Rfam family "Bacterial small subunit ribosomal RNA", at positions 30 to 523 of the family's 1533-position model. The record is from RNAcentral.
AUUGAACGCUGGCGGCAUGCCUUACACAUGCAAGUCGAACGGCAGCAUGGAGAGCUUGCUCUCUGAUGGCGAGUGGCGAACGGGUGAGUAAUGCAUCGGAACGUACCGUGUAAUGGGGGAUAACGUAGCGAAAGUUACGCUAAUACCGCAUACGACCUGAGGGUGAAAGCAGGGGAUCGCAAGACCUUGCGUUAUACGAGCGGCCGAUGUCAGAUUAGCUAGUUGGUGAGGUAAAGGCUCACCAAGGCGACGAUCUGUAGCGGGUCUGAGAGGAUGAUCCGCCACACUGGGACUGGGACACGGCCCGGACUCCUACGGGAGGCAGCAGUGGGGAAUUUUGGACAAUGGGGGCAACCCUGAUCCAGCCAUGCCGCGUGAGUGAAGUAGGCCUUCGGGUUGUAAAGCUCUUUCGGCCGGGAAGAAAUCGCACAGGCUAAUACUCUGUGUGGAUGACGGUACCGGCAUAAGAAGCACCGGCUAACUACGUGCCAGCCGCCGCGGUAA